GAUGAACGCUGGCGGCGUGCUUAACACAUGCAAGUCGAACGGAAAGGCCGAAGCUUGCUUCGGUACUCGAGUGGCGAACGGGUGAGUAACACGUGGGUGAUCUGCCCUGUACUUCGGGAUAAGCUUGGGAAACUGGGUCUAAUACCGGAUAUGACGAUCUCUUGGAUGGGGUUGUGGAAAGCUUUUGCGGUAUGGGAUGAGCUCGCGGCCUAUCAGCUUGUUGGUGGGGUAAUGGCCUACCAAGGCGUCGACGGGUAGCCGGCCUGAGAGGGUGUAGGGCCACAUUGGGACUGAGAUACGGCCCAGACUCCUACGGGAGGCAGCAGUGGGGAAUAUUGCACAAUGGGCGCAAGCCUGAUGCAGCGACGCCGCGUGGGGGAUGACGGCCUUCGGGUUGUAAACUCCUUUCGCAAUCGACGAAGCCUUUUGGUGACGGUAGGUUGAGAAGAAGCACCGGCUAACUACGUG
This 468-nucleotide ribosomal RNA is filed under the name uncultured bacterium. RNAcentral describes it as "partial 16S ribosomal RNA". It matches the Rfam family "Bacterial small subunit ribosomal RNA", at positions 28 to 507 of the family's 1533-position model. The record is from RNAcentral.